Molecule: ribosomal RNA, 634 nt
Filed under: uncultured beta proteobacterium
Lineage: Bacteria; Pseudomonadati; Pseudomonadota; Betaproteobacteria
Description: bacterial SSU rRNA
Rfam family: Bacterial small subunit ribosomal RNA
Source: RNAcentral
AUUGAACGCUGGCGGAAUGCUUUACACAUGCAAGUCGAGCGGCAGCGCGGGGGCAACCCUGGCGGCGAGCGGCGAACGGGUGAGUAAUGUAUCGGAACGUACCCUGUCGUGGGGGAUAACACAGCGAAAGCUGUGCUAAUACCGCAUACGACCUGAGGGUGAAAGCGGGGGACCGUAAGGCCUCGCGCGAUAGGAGCGGCCGAUAUCGGAUUAGCUAGUUGGUGAGGUAAAGGCUCACCAAGGCGACGAUCCGUAGCUGGUCUGAGAGGACGACCAGCCACACUGGAACUGAGACACGGUCCAGACUCCUACGGGAGGCAGCAGUGGGGAAUUUUGGACAAUGGGGGCAACCCUGAUCCAGCCAUUCCGCGUGAGUGAAGAAGGCCUUCGGGUUGUAAAGCUCUUUCAGCAGGAACGAAACGGUGGUCCCUAAUACGGGUUACUAAUGACGGUACCUGAAGAAGAAGCACCGGCUAACUACGUGCCAGCAGCCGCGGUAAUACGUAGGGUGCGAGCGUUAAUCGGAAUUACUGGGCGUAAAGCGUGCGCAGGCGGUUCUAUAAGACAGAUGUGAAAUCCCCGGGCUUAACCUGGGAACUGCGUUUGUGACUGUAGGACUUGAGUAUGGGAGAGG